Molecule: ribosomal RNA, 653 nt
Filed under: Arthrobacter sp. MJS41
Lineage: Bacteria; Bacillati; Actinomycetota; Actinomycetes; Micrococcales; Micrococcaceae
Description: bacterial SSU rRNA
Rfam family: Bacterial small subunit ribosomal RNA
Source: RNAcentral
GUGAGUAACCUGCCCUUGACUCUGGGAUAAGCCUGGGAAACUGGGUCUAAUACUGGAUACGACCUUUCACCGCAUGGUGGGGGGUGGAAAGCUUUUGUGGUUUUGGAUGGACUCGCGGCCUAUCAGCUUGUUGGUGGGGUAAUGGCCUACCAAGGCGACGACGGGUAGCCGGCCUGAGAGGGUGGACGGCCACACUGGGACUGAGACACGGCCCAGACUCCUACGGGAGGCAGCAGUGGGGAAUAUUGCACAAUGGGCGCAAGCCUGAUGCAGCGACGCCGCGUGAGGGAUGAAGGCCUUCGGGUUGUAAACCUCUUUCAGUAGGGAAGAAGCGAAAGUGACGGUACCUGCAGAAGAAGCGCCGGCUAACUACGUGCCAGCAGCCGCGGUAAUACGUAGGGCGCAAGCGUUAUCCGGAAUUAUUGGGCGUAAAGAGCUCGUAGGCGGUUUGUCGCGUCUGCCGUGAAAGUCCGGGGCUUAACUCCGGAUCUGCGGUGGGUACGGGCAGACUUGAGUGAUGUAGGGGAGACUGGAAUUCCUGGUGUAGCGGUGAAAUGCGCAGAUAUCAGGAGGAACACCGAUGGCGAAGGCAGGUCUCUGGGCAUUAACUGACGCUGAGGAGCGAAAGCAUGGGGAGCGAACAGGAUUAGAUA